CAUUCCUCUGGACAGGUUUUGGUAAAUCUCCCCCUAUGUCACACUGUUUGCUGCACCAUAGAAAUAUGUCCAGCACUGAAAGGGUGCAUGUGAUUCCAGCUCUGGAGGGGGCAGGGACAAUUAAGGAUCCUUAAAUACAGCUGCUCCAGUGCAGCUCAGGUUACCUGCUGGAGAUGAGGACAGGUUUGUUCAAGCAGAUCUCCAAAUAUUUCCAGAAAAGCAAGCUGCCAUGGAAAAAUAAUUAUUCUCCCUUCUAUAGAAAGGAGUUCUGACUUGGGUUCCGGAGCGGGGCCGUAGUUACUAUUCGACCCUCUUCUUGUAUGCCUUCUUGCAUAAUAAAGGAUUGCUCUACAAAAUGGCGCAAAAAAGACACCUCAGUGGUUAUGCACGUCUUCCCAAUGCAACGAGAAUGCUUGGAAAAAAAAAAUGGCUUGAAGACAGCAGGAGGUUCACAUCUAAUUUGAAGAGAUGGUGCAAGAGGCAAGAGCCCGGGACCAGAUGGCUAUACAGCCAAGUUUUACAAGCUCCUCCGGUCAGAGCUGUCUUCUCCUCUUCUUUUUGCUUUCAACACUAUCCGACUCAUCCCCUUCAUCACAGUCUUUUCUACGUGCCUUUAUCACUGUGAUCUCAAAAGAGGGAAUCCAAUCUUGUGCCAGAGCUAUCGCCCUAUCGAGAGACUCUAUCUCUACCUCCAGGGUGAAUCACCGGAAAAGUACUAUUUAUGCUCUCUUUCUUGAUUCUCUCAGUACUGACCAUCUGCCCUUCUGGAUGGGUUGGGAGAGGGAACUAAACUGUAAGUUUAUGGAAGAGGAGUGGAACACAGCGGUUCUCAUGUGCCAUAACACAUCUAUAUCAUGUAAGGCUCAAGAAACGAACUACAAAGUUCUGACAAGAUGGUACAGAGUUCCGGCCCUAUUAUCCCGCUUUUACCCUGGUGUGCCGGAAGCUUAUUGGAGGUGUGGCGAGACGGGUGGUGGUACAAUGUCUUGUAUUUAGUUACAGUGUUCUUCACUGACCCCCUUCUGGAAUCAGAUUCUAGAUACUAUUCGUAAACUAACCUCAGUGUGACUUAGUGUAGCCCUGGCUCCUCCUCUAAAUGGAACGCCCGCCUGAUCAGAUUUAUGCUUCUUGCAGCCAGGUCAGUUAUUCCGAGACAGUGAAAAUCUGCCCCUUCCUUCUCCUCAUGGGUUCAGGAACUCUCGCAUGUACACUGAAUGAAGAAACUUAUUGCUGACUCCAGACAACAUUUGAUGAAACACCACAUGAUCUGGGGACCUUGGACCAAUUGUCUCUCCUCAGACGGUUACAGAUCCCUACAUUUAGUGUCUUGAUCCCCUCCUGAUUUCCCCCUUGCCUUUCUCGUGCAUGUUGCCCGACCUGUAGAACCAGCCUGCCCGCCUCCCUUGGCUCCCGCCUGUGUCCGCUGUCCUCCUGAGGUACGUACCCUUUCUGACUCUUCUCCCUUGUCCCUCCCUUCUGCCCCUCCUUCCCUCCUCGUUUCCCCCCUGUCUUUUCUACUCGCUCCCAGUCUUCUCAUUUCUUGUUUUUAUAUUUUUUUCUAUUGGUUACACACAUGCACCCUAUGCUCCCUUUAUUAAUGCCUGUUAUACAUGCGUGGCUUUUAUCCAAGAUAGGUUUACUGUGCUAUUAGUCAUGGUCGUAAAUGUUGGCACCCCUGAAAUUUUUCAAGAAAAGGCAGACAUUUUUCAAGAAAAGUAUUUCUCACAGAAAAGCAUUGCAGUAACACAUGUUUUGCUGUACACAUGUUUAUUCCCUUUGUGUGUAUUAGAACUAAACCAAAAAGAGGAAAAAAAGCAAAUCGGACAUAAUGUCACACUAAACUCCAAAAAUGAAGGGGGUGCCAACAUUUACGGCCAUGACGGUAUAUUCCUGUUAUCGUUUUGAUAUGUUACCUAUUUGUUUGUCACACACUUGGCCGCAUUUUAUUCGGGUGCUUUUUACCAUUCCCAUGUGCGGUCAUGUUCUACCUAUUUGUUACCUGACAUUUCAUGACUAAGACUGCUUUUGUCUUAUGCUUAUGCUUUCAUGAAAACUUUAAUACAUAUAUGCUAUUAAAAAAAAAAAGAAAUACAUAGAUUUAUUGUGAGACAGUCAGUAAGUACAUAUACUUGUACACUUGUUAUGUUAAAAUGCAGAUUAGGAUUUUUAUGUUCUUCCACACCUUGACACAUUUGACAGAUAUAUACUAUGUAAAUAUGUUUAUGUUCACUAUGUAUUCAAGUUUCAAUGGUCCACAACAGAUAAUUGUAACUUGUAAAUAU
Hyla sarda is the source of this 2282-nucleotide long non-coding RNA. RefSeq lists it as uncharacterized. The record is from RefSeq and is a predicted model, not a curated record. NCBI's taxonomy places the organism in Eukaryota, Metazoa, Chordata, Amphibia, Anura, Hylidae. The transcript is spliced from 4 exons.